CCUAGCUAUAUGAGUUUUCAUAUCCAACUUUAAUCUUCUGUACGUCUUAUUUGAAUUCUUUAAUUUAUGAUUAGUAUUUUUAUCGUUAUUAGAUGAUAAAAUAUGAAUAGUAUUUUAUGCGUGACUUAUGUUUUUAAAUAAGAUGAACAAUCAAAGUUGAACAUGAAAAAAAUUAUGGCUACACUUACA
Molecule: non-coding RNA, 189 nt
Organism: Oryza meridionalis
Lineage: Eukaryota; Viridiplantae; Streptophyta; Magnoliopsida; Poales; Poaceae
Source: Rfam